RNAcentral lists this long non-coding RNA (1416 nucleotides) under Pan troglodytes (chimpanzee). RNAcentral describes it as "long non-coding RNA NONPTRT014515". Lineage: Eukaryota; Metazoa; Chordata; Mammalia; Primates; Hominidae. The record is from RNAcentral.
CCAUUGCACUCCAGCCUGGGCAACCAAGCAAGAUUUUGUGUCAAAAAAAAACAAACAUGUAUUUAUUUUAUAAUUAAAAAUUAAUUAAAAAAAAUAAAAAUCAUCUAGGGACUGUAACAUGUGAUCCUGGAGGGAAUUCUGGAACAGAAAGAGACAUUAGGUGAAAACUAAGAAAAUGUGAAUAAACGUAUGUGAGAAUUCAGCACUAGCUUUUCAGUGUUUUUGUAAUAUCUAAAAUUGUUCUAAAAAGUAAAGUCUAUUCAUUAAAAAAAAUUCAUCUAGGGCAGUUGAGUUAAUAUGAUGUAGAUCCCUGGGCUUCGUCUCCAGAGAUUCUAACUCAAUAGAUCUGGGGUGAAGCCCAGUCAUUUUCAUUCUUAUUAAGCCUCCCAAGAUGGUUCAUUGCUUUGGGUUACCACAGGCAAAGAAAGAAUCAAAGAAAAUGCAACCACACUCAUUUGGUUAACACAGCUGAUUACUAAAGUCUCUUCCCAGCUCUGAUGGAGAAGAAAGGAAGGGGCAGCGGUGGUGAGGAGCCUGUUUCCACUCUGGGACGGCUGGUCCAGAAAACCCUAAGCCCCAGUGUAAGGCUGGGCUCAGGGGAGCAGCCCCAAGAAGCCGCCAGGACAGGAGGCCGCCGCCCUCACUACCCAUUGCUGUCAUUUGGUGUAUAGUUGUCCUGCGGUUUUUAGCUGUAUUUAAACAGUGUUUAAUAUAGAAGGACUCAAUUCCAAGAGUAGACUUUUAGAUACUCCUCAAAACAUACUAUAUUGAGCACUAAGAUUUUGACUAUGCCUAAUGCCAGCCCUUGGAAACAACUGUUUCCAAAUUGGUCUCGUGCUAUCUGAACUUCACUGCCAGCUGCCACCAUUGCCCAGCCAGAUUUGGGAUCCCAUGGCCAUAGAGCGCCUGGCGGCACUAGGACCAAUGUCAACAUGUGUGUGGCUUCAGGGACCCCAGCCGCACACACUAGGACUUUUGCUUUUGAAGCGGUUAGCAUAGAGUUUCCAGAAGGAAGGAGGAAAAAAAUCCACCAUCUGUACUCUCAUUUAUCUUACCCUUAAAAUGGAAGGAAGUUGGUAAACAAGAAAGAAAGCCAGAAAACUAAGGAAGGAGGAAGCAAGCUAGAAUAUUGAUGUCAGGGGAUAAUUUUAGAUGGAUGACACAGCUGGAGUCCAUGGGAACUGUUCAAAGGCCUGGAUUCAGGAACAGAAAAGAGGAGAGAGGGGAGGAGAAAGGAAGAAACAGGGCAAAGGGGCUGGAGUGGAAAGAGUUGGAGGUGGAAGAUGAAUGGUGGAGGGAAGGGAGCAAUAGCUGGCACUUCUUGAGCAGUAUGGUCAUAACGUCCUCAUAUCUCACUUAAUGUACACGUCAGUCUUUGAAAUGAGAACAUUGAAGCUUGACUACUCUAAGCUGCCA